UUUCUUUCUUUCUUUCUUUCUUUCUUUCUCUUUCUGUCUUUCUGUCUUUCUGUCUUUCUUUCUGUCUUUCUGUCUUUCUGUCUUUCUUUCUCUGUCUUUCUGUCUGUCUUUCUGUCUUUGUCUGUCUUUUUAGGGUUGCAUCCAUGGCAUAUGAAGUUCCCAGCCUAGGGGUCGAAUCAGAGCUAUAGCUGCCGGCCUACACCACAGCCCAGCAACACAGGAUCUGAGCCCCAUCUGCAACCUACACCACAGCUCAUAGCAACACUGGAUCCUUAACCCACUGCGUGAGGCCUGGGAUUGAAUCUGCAUCUUCAUGGACACUAGUCAGGUUUGCUACCGCUGAACCGCAAUGGGAACUCCUUAUCCAGUUUUUCUAAUUUUGCUUCUAGAUUGAUAGGUGUUGCAUCUAACGUUGUGACCAUUCAAGUGUUUAAUGAUAACCAUCAUUUCCCCAUUAUCUGACAUUAACUUCAUGUGACUGACUAAUUUUUACUACCUUAAAUAAAGGAAAGACAUCUAUUUUCACCCCACCUGAUGGAAUCAAAAGCCUCUAAUACUAUUAGAUGGCUAGGCAUUGGCUGAUAUUUAAUAGUGUCUGGAGAUUGAGGUUACACACUCCAUUGGAGAAUUUCUAGAUCAAAUUGUUCACUGAUUAUAGAGUCUGGGUUCUGUAAUUAACACCCUUAACACUGAGUUAUUAAUUAUAUUUCCACUAUAGCAUUGGACUAACAAAUCCAGCAUUUCAACUGACUUUGAAUAUUUAACUCAGAUUGACCAAAUGGAGGAAAGCCAACCACCCUAAAAGUCAGAGCUGGUAAUUAAUGUUUUUACAUCAGGAUUGAGGUUCUAGCAAAAACUGGCUUCCUUUUAGAAGAUCAAAGUCUGAGUUGUAGACCAGUCCUGGUGAAACAGCUGCUCUCCUACUUGUAAUAUUAAAGGCUUUCUGAGCUUUGGUGUUUUCCUCUGCUUUCUCUUCUCUCCUUCAAAUCAGGUGAAGACAUAUAGAGAAGGAAUCUUUGGGUGCCUGGCAGAUCUAUCUGCCUCAAGUGUGGUACAACAAUAAAGUUUGAAGUUACAAAAUCUAGGUAAGGAAAUAUCACAGGCUGUGUAUCUAGAAGCUUGAGUAUCAUUCUUGACUCUGCUAUUAGCUACUGUGACCACUGACUUGAGUUCUUUGGGUCCUGGUUUCUUAAUACCCAAUCUGAGAGGAGCUACUUGAGUAUCUUCAAGAUCUGUUCGUGCUCAACAGUAAAUUUCCUAAGGAAGGAUUUUGAGCUACUUGAGAAUUUUAACACACCUGCUUCUUGCUUCCUAUGAUCAGAAAUCACUAAAGGUUGGGUUGCAUUUGGUUGAGAACCUGCUAAUAUGACUUAGGCACCUUCUUCCCAUGUGGGGGUCCAAACUGAGGCUUAGGACUUUUACUACUGCAAAGUAGAAGCUGAGAAAUGGCGCAGUGUUCCGAAAGCCAUGAGUCUAGUAUGAGGUUGAUGAAUUGAGGUUGAUGAUGGGCUGACAAUUUCUUUGACAUCUUGGUUAUAGAGUUGACCUUAGUUAAGUCUGGCCUCAGUUUUCCUAAACGAUCUAGUUGUGGAAGGAGACUCGAGAAAAGAAUUUUCUCUCUGCUAUUUCCAGAAUUGGUUACAUGGAAGGUACUCAUUCACUAAUGGUUGAAUGGAAUUCAGAGGAAUUCAAGAUAAAUCCUGACAGACAAAUUUGGAUGGUUGCUACUCUUUAUUCCUAAGGGAUAAUCCAUUUAGAUAAGGCCAGUUUCAGUUAUUUAAAAACAUUUAACAACUUACAGAAUUCAAAAUAUGCACAGAGCUUUCCUCAGAUUUUUUUUUUUUUUGUCUUUUUGUUGUUGUUGUUGUUGUUGCUAUUUCUUGGGCCGCUCCCGCGGCAUGUGGAGGUUCCCAGGCUAGGGGUCUAGUCAGAGCUGUAGCCACUGGCCUACGCCAGAGCCACAGCAACGCGGGAUCCGAGCGGUGUCUGCAACCUACACCACAGCUCACGGCAACCCCGGAUCCUUAACCCACUGAGCAAGCGCAGGGACCGAACCCGCAACCUCAUGGUUCCUAGUCGGAUUCGUUGACCACUGCGCCACGAUGGGAACUCCCUCCUCAGAUUUUUAAAAUUGUGAGUUGAGCAAGCGAAAUACACAGAUAAUUGAAGAAGAAAAAACUGUGUUGGGUUUACCAGUCUAACAAGAGAAGAUUGACCACAAAAGUAAACACUGACUUGUAUCUUUUUCUUAAUUUUUUUUUUUUUUUUUAAUUUUUACCGCUGUGCCUGCAGCAUUUGGAAGUUCCUGGGCUAGAGGUCCAAUGGGAGCUGCAGCUGCAGGCCUACACAGCCAUGGCAACACCGGAUCUGAGCCACAUCUGUGACCUAUGCUGCAGCAAUGCCAGAUCCUAACCCACGGAGUGAGGCCAGAGAUCGGACCCUCAUCCUCACGGAGACUUUGUCGGGUUCUCAAUCCGCCAAGCCACAGUGGGAACGCCUUGACUUGUAAUUUUUGAUAAAUAAAAUUACUCUUGUCCUACAUCAUGUUUAGGCAACAUUUGUAGGCAAUUUAUGCGGAUGAGCGCAAUGUGUGUUACCUCCACGUAGCCCAUCCAAAUUUUUAAUAUACGGUUUUUCAUUGAGGCAGUUUUCCUGUAUCUCUAAGCAGUGCC
Molecule: long non-coding RNA, 2672 nt
Filed under: Sus scrofa (pig)
Lineage: Eukaryota; Metazoa; Chordata; Mammalia; Artiodactyla; Suidae
Description: lncRNA (ENSSSCG00015038150.1)
Source: RNAcentral